Long non-coding RNA from Solanum stenotomum, 243 nucleotides. RefSeq lists it as uncharacterized. The record is from RefSeq and is a predicted model, not a curated record. The transcript has 2 exons. Lineage: Eukaryota; Viridiplantae; Streptophyta; Magnoliopsida; Solanales; Solanaceae.
UUCCUUCUUUUCUUCUUUUGUUUUGUGCUUUUUUGUAAUCCAAUUGAAAAAAUACAAGAUGAGAAAAUUAUGCUUCACUAUAGACAAAGAGACUUUCAGUAUAAGGAUGGUUCAAGCCUUUGUUUGCUCCUUCAUAGGUUGCUGAAGUAGAUGCAUAGUCUGCAUAGGGGUUCAGUCUUUCGAUCUCCAUAAUAUUUUCAAUCUGUUUCACCACUUCACUCAUUUUAGGGCGAUUGACUCCUC